GACGAACGCUGGCGGCGUGCUUAACACAUGCAAGUCGAACGAGUGGCGAACGGGUGAGUAAUACGUGAGUAACCUGCCCUCUCUUUGGGAUAAGCCUUGGAAACGGGGUCUAAUACCGGAUAAAGGGGGAUGGGCUGGGGGACUAUCAGCUUGUUGGUGGGGUGAUGGCGUACCAAGGCGGCGACGGGUCGACGGCCUGAGGGGGUGAUCGGCCACAUGGGGACGGAGAGACGGCCCAGACUCCGACGGGAGAGGGCAGUGGCGGAUAUUGCGCAAUGGGCGAAAGCCUGAUGCAGCGAGGCCGCGUGGGGGAUGAAGGCUUUCGGGUUGUAAUCCUCGUUCGGUAUCGAACGGGUAUGUGGAGAAGAAGCGCCGGCUAACUACGUGCCAGCAGCCGCGGUAAUAC
This 406-nucleotide ribosomal RNA is filed under the name uncultured bacterium. RNAcentral describes it as "partial 16S ribosomal RNA". It matches the Rfam family "Bacterial small subunit ribosomal RNA", at positions 28 to 526 of the family's 1533-position model. The record is from RNAcentral.